This is an RNA transcript of Solanum verrucosum, 1121 nucleotides long. RefSeq lists it as uncharacterized. The record is from RefSeq and is a predicted model, not a curated record. Lineage: Eukaryota; Viridiplantae; Streptophyta; Magnoliopsida; Solanales; Solanaceae. The transcript is spliced from 9 exons.
AUGAGCAGACUUAGUGUAUGGGGCGGCCCAUCGGCGAGCGUAUUACCCAUCGGCAAUGAAAAGGUGUUCAGCUCCAUUUGGCAUUCGAGAAGAAAGGCGCAUUUCACAAGGAAGACGAUACGGAGCUGCGCAGCAGAUUUCAAGGUGCUCACUUCUGUUACAAGUAAUUAUAAUAACAUUGUAAUCCUCGAUACUCCAGAAUCACGAGUCCUGCUUCUCGAUUCUUCCAAUAAUGUGCAUAGCAUCCUUCACAAGGGAACCAAAUGGACUGGUGCAUAUUGGGAUGAGUUUGCUAGCUUGCCGGCCGUUGUUCCAAAGGGCCCUCUCGCAAUCUUUGGCUUGGGGGGCGCAACUGCUGCACAUUUGAUGCUUGAACUGUGGCCUUCUUUGCUGCUUGUUGGAUGGGAGAUAGAUGAAAUUUUGAUUGCAAAAGCAAGAGAAUAUCUUGGGCUCUCUGAUCUGGAGAAGCAUACUCAAGGUGGAGGUGUGUUGGAGGUUCAUAUUGGAGAUGUAUUUUCUUCAUCUGUUACUAUUCCUGGAGGUUAUGCUGGUAUAAUAGUUGAUUUGUUUUCUGAUGGAAAGGUUUUGCCACAACUGGAAGAGGUUAGAACUUGGUUGGAGAUGAAUAAUAUGUUGAUGCCCAAUGGUCGUCUCAUGGUGAAUUGUGGUGCUGCUACCAAAGAAUUGUCUGAUACUUCUGAAAUGAUGCAACCAGAUAUUCCCAAAAGGGAUGACCCUUUGGAACUAAACGCAACUAUCAAUGCAUUAUGCAAGGCAUUUCCUGAGCAAGUAAGCUGGAAAAAGCUGCCAAAGAGCGCAGGAGAAAAUUAUCUUGCACUGACAGGACCAUUACCAGAUUUGGAUAUUUGGUCUGCUCAUCUCCCGGAUCUAUUAAGCUCAAGUGUCAAAGAAUGGAGAAGUUGCACGCCUUCCCCUUCGUGAAUGUGACAUUGGGACUUGGUUAAGAUGUAAAUUUCCACAUGCCAAACCAUGCAGAAAAGUAAUUUCCAAUCACUUCAGCUCUCCCUGUUGCAUAUUAAACGUGAUGAAUGUCACUGAGAGUCUGAACUCUGCUUUAAGUUAGGAUACUACUUUGAGUUGUUACUAUGUCAUCACUCAUC